AUGCAGUCGAGCGGUAGCACAGAGAGCUUGCUCUCGGGUGACGAGCGGCGGACGGGUGAGUAAUGUCUGGGAAACUGCCUGAUGGAGGGGGAUAACUACUGGAAACGGUAGCUAAUACCGCAUAAUGUCGCAAGACCAAAGUGGGGGACCUUCGGGCCUCAUGCCAUCAGAUGUGCCCAGAUGGGAUUAGCUAGUAGGUGGGGUAACGGCUCACCUAGGCGACGAUCCCUAGCUGGUCUGAGAGGAUGACCAGCCACACUGGAACUGAGACACGGUCCAGACUCCUACGGGAGGCAGCAGUGGGGAAUAUUGCACAAUGGGCGCAAGCCUGAUGCAGCCAUGCCGCGUGUGUGAAGAAGGCCUUCGGGUUGUAAAGCACUUUCAGCGGGGAGGAAGGCGAUAAGGUUAAUAACCUUGUCGAUUGACGUUACCCGCAGAAGAAGCACCGGCUAACUCCGUGCCAGCAGCCGCGGUAAUACGGAGGGUGCAAGCGUUAAUCGGAAUUACUGGGCGUAAAGCGCACGCAGGCGGUCUGUCAAGUCGGAUGUGAAAUCCCCGGGCUCAACCUGGGAACUGCAUUCGAAACUGGCAGGCUAGAGUCUUGUAGAGGGGGGUAGAAUUCCAGGUGUAGCGGUGAAAUGCGUAGAGAUCUGGAGGAAUACCGGUGGCGAAGGCGGCCCCCUGGACAAAGACUGACGCUCACGUGCGAAAGCGUGGGGGAGCAAACAGGAUUAGAUACCCUGGUAGUCCACGCCGUAAACGAUGUCGAUUUGGAGGUUGUGCCCUUGAGGCGUGCUUCCGGAGCUAACGCGUUAAAUCGACCGCCUGGGGAGUACGGCCGCAAGGUUAAAACUCAAUGAAUUGACCGGGGGCCCGCACAGCGGUGGAGCAUGUGUUUAUC
This 901-nucleotide ribosomal RNA is filed under the name Klebsiella pneumoniae. RNAcentral describes it as "bacterial SSU rRNA". It matches the Rfam family "Bacterial small subunit ribosomal RNA", at positions 55 to 950 of the family's 1533-position model. Lineage: Bacteria; Pseudomonadati; Pseudomonadota; Gammaproteobacteria; Enterobacterales; Enterobacteriaceae. The record is from RNAcentral.